RNAcentral lists this ribosomal RNA (670 nucleotides) under uncultured Desulfosporosinus sp. RNAcentral describes it as "bacterial SSU rRNA". It matches the Rfam family "Bacterial small subunit ribosomal RNA", at positions 28 to 667 of the family's 1533-position model. Lineage: Bacteria; Bacillati; Bacillota; Clostridia; Eubacteriales; Desulfitobacteriaceae. The record is from RNAcentral.
GACGGACGCUGGCGGCGUGCGUAACACAUGCAAGUCGAACGGAGAAUWUCAAUAAGUUUACUUAGUGAAAUUCUUAGUGGCGGACGGGUGAGUAACGCGUGGGUAACSUACCCAUAAAGCCGGGACAACCCAUGGAAACGAGGGCUAAUACCGGAUAAUCUUGGGGCUUGGCAUCAAGCUGUAAGGAAAGAGGGCCUCUGAAAAUGCUCUUGAUUAUGGAUGGACCCGCGUCUGAUUAGCUGGUUGGUGGGGUAAAGGCCUACCAAGGCGACGAUCAGUAGCCGGCCUGAGAGGGUGAACGGCCACACUGGGACUGAGACACGGCCCAGACUCCUACGGGUGGCAGCAGUGGGGAAUCUUCCGCAAUGGACGAAAGUCUGACGGAGCAACGCCGCGUGUAUGAUGAAGGUCUUCGGAUUGUAAAGUACUGUCUUUAGGGAAGAACGGCAGCUAUGAAAAUAUUGUAGAUGCAUGACGGUACCUAAGGAGGAAGCCCCGGCUAACUACGUGCCAGCAGCCGCGGUAAUACGUAGGGGGCGAGCGUUGUCCGGAAUUAUUGGGCGUAAAGGGCGCGUAGGCGGGUAUUAAGUCCGAUGUGAAAGAUCAGGGCUCAACCCUGAGAGUGCAUCGGAAACCUGGGUAUCUUGAGGACAGGAGAGGAAAGUGGAAU